This 163-nucleotide small nuclear RNA is filed under the name Chelydra serpentina (North American snapping turtle). RNAcentral describes it as "U1 spliceosomal RNA (ENSCSRG00000013883.1)". It matches the Rfam family "U1 spliceosomal RNA". Rfam says of the family: U1 is a small nuclear RNA (snRNA) component of the spliceosome (involved in pre-mRNA splicing). Its 5' end forms complementary base pairs with the 5' splice junction, thus defining the 5' donor site of an intron. There are significant differences in sequence and secondary structure between metazoan and yeast U1 snRNAs, the latter being much longer (568 nucleotides as compared to 164 nucleotides in human). Lineage: Eukaryota; Metazoa; Chordata; Testudines; Chelydridae. The record is from Rfam by way of RNAcentral.
AUGUCAACCUGGCAGGGGAGAUACCAUGAGCACGAAGGUGGUUUUCCCAGGGUGAGGCUCAUCCCUUGCACUGCGGGUGUGCUGAUCCUUGCGGUUUCCCCAAAUGCGGAAACUUCACUGCAUAUUUUGUGGUAAUGGGGGGCUGUGUUCAUGCUUUCCCCUG